Symsagittifera roscoffensis is the source of this 574-nucleotide long non-coding RNA. RefSeq lists it as uncharacterized. NCBI's taxonomy places the organism in Eukaryota, Metazoa, Xenacoelomorpha, Acoela, Convolutidae. The record is from RefSeq and is a predicted model, not a curated record. The transcript is spliced from 4 exons.
UCCUGUACACUGCUGUACACAAUUAUUGACCCAAAUAAUUUUAUGAUUCAAUUCCUAACUGACAAAUUCUAAAUAGAUCUGAGUUUAGUUUACAAAAAACAAUGAAAUUUCUAAUCGUUACACUUUCAGUUAUGCUUAUUGCAGCUAUUUUACCGAAAGGGAAUUAUGCUCACUAUGCAAGAGGCUUCUCAUUGGACGGUAAACGAUGGGACCCGUCCUCUGAUUUCAAUUUUGACCUGGCUAAAAAGAGUAGUGAGUUCUCAACAGACGGCAAACGAUGGGAUCCGUCCUCCGAUUUUAACUUCGACCUGGCUAAAAAGAGCAGUGAGUUCUCAACGGACGGCAAACGAUGGGAUCCGUCUUCCGAUUUCAAUUUCGACCUCGCUUGAAAGAAAAGUGGAUAUGAACAUAAAAAAUGCAAGCAGAGUAGUGAUUUUCCGAUGGGACUAGCUUGUGUGGGAGGAGCAUGCAAAGACAUUUGAAAACAAAAAAAGACAUUUUGGAAGAACACUUCUUGUUUUUUUUAAACAUUUCAAAAGAGAGCUGGAUUGAUAAUUCAAUAGCGGUUCUAAAU